RNAcentral lists this non-coding RNA (22 nucleotides) under Arabidopsis thaliana (thale cress). The record is from RNAcentral. Lineage: Eukaryota; Viridiplantae; Streptophyta; Magnoliopsida; Brassicales; Brassicaceae.
UUGAUGUAAAGUUGCAAUGCCA